RNAcentral lists this ribosomal RNA (2902 nucleotides) under metagenome. RNAcentral's name for it is "bacterial LSU rRNA". It matches the Rfam family "Bacterial large subunit ribosomal RNA". The record is from RNAcentral.
UUAAGCGACUAAGCGUACACGGUGGAUGCCCUGGCAGUCAGAGGCGAUGAAGGACGUGCUAAUCUGCGAUAAGCGUCGGUAAGGUGAUAUGAACCGUUAUAACCGGCGAUUUCCGAAUGGGGAAACCCAGUGUGUUUCGACACACUAUCAUUAACUGAAUCCAUAGGUUAAUGAGGCGAACCGGGGGAACUGAAACAUCUAAGUACCCCGAGGAAAAGAAAUCAACCGAGAUUCCCCCAGUAGCGGCGAGCGAACGGGGAGGAGCCCAGAGCCUGAAUCAGUGUGUGUGUUAGUGGAAGCGUCUGGAAAGGCGCGCGAUACAGGGUGACAGCCCCGUACACAAAAAUGCACAUACUGUGAGCUCGAUGAGUAGGGCGGGACACGUGGUAUCCUGUCUGAAUAUGGGGGGACCAUCCUCCAAGGCUAAAUACUCCUGACUGACCGAUAGUGAACCAGUACCGUGAGGGAAAGGCGAAAAGAACCCCGGCGAGGGGAGUGAAAAAGAACCUGAAACCGUGUACGUACAAGCAGUGGGAGCCUCUUUUAUGGGGUGACUGCGUACCUUUUGUAUAAUGGGUCAGCGACUUAUAUUCUGUAGCAAGGUUAACCGAAUAGGGGAGCCGAAGGGAAACCGAGUCUUAACUGGGCGUUAAGUUGCAGGGUAUAGACCCGAAACCCGGUGAUCUAGCCAUGGGCAGGUUGAAGGUUGGGUAACACUAACUGGAGGACCGAACCGACUAAUGUUGAAAAAUUAGCGGAUGACUUGUGGCUGGGGGUGAAAGGCCAAUCAAACCGGGAGAUAGCUGGUUCUCCCCGAAAGCUAUUUAGGUAGCGCCUCGUGAAUUCAUCUCCGGGGGUAGAGCACUGUUUCGGCAAGGGGGUCAUCCCGACUUACCAACCCGAUGCAAACUGCGAAUACCGGAGAAUGUUAUCACGGGAGACACACGGCGGGUGCUAACGUCCGUCGUGAAGAGGGAAACAACCCAGACCGCCAGCUAAGGUCCCAAAGUCAUGGUUAAGUGGGAAACGAUGUGGGAAGGCCCAGACAGCCAGGAUGUUGGCUUAGAAGCAGCCAUCAUUUAAAGAAAGCGUAAUAGCUCACUGGUCGAGUCGGCCUGCGCGGAAGAUGUAACGGGGCUAAACCAUGCACCGAAGCUGCGGCAGCGACGCUUAUGCGUUGUUGGGUAGGGGAGCGUUCUGUAAGCCUGUGAAGGUGUGCUGUGAGGCAUGCUGGAGGUAUCAGAAGUGCGAAUGCUGACAUAAGUAACGAUAAAGCGGGUGAAAAGCCCGCUCGCCGGAAGACCAAGGGUUCCUGUCCAACGUUAAUCGGGGCAGGGUGAGUCGACCCCUAAGGCGAGGCCGAAAGGCGUAGUCGAUGGGAAACAGGUUAAUAUUCCUGUACUUGGUGUUACUGCGAAGGGGGGACGGAGAAGGCUAUGUUGGCCGGGCGACGGUUGUCCCGGUUUAAGCGUGUAGGCUGGUUUUCCAGGCAAAUCCGGAAAAUCAAGGCUGAGGCGUGAUGACGAGGCACUACGGUGCUGAAGCAACAAAUGCCCUGCUUCCAGGAAAAGCCUCUAAGCAUCAGGUAACAUCAAAUCGUACCCCAAACCGACACAGGUGGUCAGGUAGAGAAUACCAAGGCGCUUGAGAGAACUCGGGUGAAGGAACUAGGCAAAAUGGUGCCGUAACUUCGGGAGAAGGCACGCUGAUAUGUAGGUGAAGUCCCUUGCGGAUGGAGCUGAAAUCAGUCGAAGAUACCAGCUGGCUGCAACUGUUUAUUAAAAACACAGCACUGUGCAAACACGAAAGUGGACGUAUACGGUGUGACGCCUGCCCGGUGCCGGAAGGUUAAUUGAUGGGGUCAGCGCAAGCGAAGCUCUUGAUCGAAGCCCCGGUAAACGGCGGCCGUAACUAUAACGGUCCUAAGGUAGCGAAAUUCCUUGUCGGGUAAGUUCCGACCUGCACGAAUGGCGUAAUGAUGGCCAGGCUGUCUCCACCCGAGACUCAGUGAAAUUGAACUCGCUGUGAAGAUGCAGUGUACCCGCGGCAAGACGGAAAGACCCCGUGAACCUUUACUAUAGCUUGACACUGAACAUUGAGCCUUGAUGUGUAGGAUAGGUGGGAGGCUUAGAAGUGUGGACGCCAGUCUGCAUGGAGCCGACCUUGAAAUACCACCCUUUAAUGUUUGAUGUUCUAACGUUGACCCCUAAUCGGGGUUGCGGACAGUGUCUGGUGGGUAGUUUGACUGGGGCGGUCUCCUCCUAAAGAGUAACGGAGGAGCACGAAGGUUGGCUAAUCCUGGUCGGACAUCAGGAGGUUAGUGCAAUGGCAUAAGCCAGCUUGACUGCGAGCGUGACGGCGCGAGCAGGUGCGAAAGCAGGUCAUAGUGAUCCGGUGGUUCUGAAUGGAAGGGCCAUCGCUCAACGGAUAAAAGGUACUCCGGGGAUAACAGGCUGAUACCGCCCAAGAGUUCAUAUCGACGGCGGUGUUUGGCACCUCGAUGUCGGCUCAUCACAUCCUGGGGCUGAAGUAGGUCCCAAGGGUAUGGCUGUUCGCCAUUUAAAGUGGUACGCGAGCUGGGUUUAGAACGUCGUGAGACAGUUCGGUCCCUAUCUGCCGUGGGCGCUGGAGAACUGAGGGGGGCUGCUCCUAGUACGAGAGGACCGGAGUGGACGCAUCACUGGUGUUCGGGUUGUCAUGCCAAUGGCACUGCCCGGUAGCUAAAUGCGGAAGAGAUAAGUGCUGAAAGCAUCUAAGCACGAAACUUGCCCCGAGAUGAGUUCUCCCUGACUCCUUGAGAGUCCUGAAGGAACGUUGAAGACGACGACGUUGAUAGGCCGGGUGUGUAAGCGCAGCGAUGCGUUGAGCUAACCGGUACUAAUGAACCGUGAGGCUUAACCUU